This 119-nucleotide ribosomal RNA is filed under the name Lepisosteus oculatus (spotted gar). Lineage: Eukaryota; Metazoa; Chordata; Actinopteri; Semionotiformes; Lepisosteidae. The record is from RNAcentral.
GCCUGCAGCUCGAUCACCCUGAGACUCCCAGCUGGCAGCCCACUGGAGCUCAGCAGGCGUGAGCCUGGCCAGUACCUGGAUGGGAGACCUCCUGGGAAAAACUAGGGCUGCUGCUGGAG